ACUAACGUGCUAGCUAAUAACUGUUAGAAGAAGCUGUAGAAAGCACACGAAACCCAGAACGUUAAUUUAGCUAACGUUAUCAAACAAAAAAGGGUUCGCUAACGUGUUUAGGGACAAGUGGCUGGUAAAAUAGUAUAAUCUUGCAUAGUAUUCCCAAGCCUGCAGAACAAGUUAUUUAACGUUAACGAUUGAUGAAUUACAUAAAUUGGCCAGUUAGCUAACGUUAGCUAUUUACCUAGAAUGCGUCCUGGUGAUGUGUGUGACGAUGCACUGUUUUGGUCUAUAGCCAGCCAUAGACUCAGGCUAUAGCUCCAUUCCUCUCUGUGUGAUUCUGGCUAGCUAACGUUGGUUAGUUUUUUUCUUCUUUUAGUUGGCUAUCAUUUCAGAAUAAUGAUGAAAUGUCGUUAUUAGCUAACGUUAAUUGACUUGAGAGGAAGAGGCGAACCGAGAGGGUCCACUCGCGGUAAAAUCUGUCCGCGGAAUACCGCCUUUAAGCAGACAGCCUGCCUUUCCGCCUUUGAGACAACGACCACCAUUGUAGGGCGGAGACAAGACCAUCUCGUCAUUAUAUACAGUAUCUCUGCUAGUAUUCAUCUGACUGUUGUCCUAGCUAGUGUUACAUUUGAUAUCAUUUCACUGAUCAAGUACUGUUGGUGAAGAAUAGUCGUGUUUCAGUGGCGUUACAUUUUUUUAAAUAUCCGUUUUUCUAGCUAAAAAAGCUAUCUAGCGAUACUCAAUAACAAUGUAUUGCUUGACCUGGUAUGUACACACGUAGAUUGAUGUUUCCCCAUCUCCUAAGUGUAGAGAUGAUUUCAUUUUGAUUAUCUUCUUAGCAGUUAGCUAGUACAUUGAUGCAAAAAUGAAUGUGGAUGUAAAACUAGAGGAGAAUGAAAAAGAGAUAUCCCAAAGAAUCAUUUGGUCUGAAAAAUUUAAUGUGGAUGUAAAACUAGAGGGCAAUGAAAAGGAGAUAUCCCAAGGAAUCAUUUGGUCAGACAAAAUGAAUGUGGAUGUAAAACUAGAGGAGAAUGAAAAAGAGAUAUCCCAAGGAAUCAUUUGGUCUGAAAAAUUUAAUGGGGAUGUAAAACUAGAGGGCAAUGAAAAGGAGAUAUCCCAAGGAAUCAUUUGGUCAGACAAAAUGAAUGUGGAUGUAAAACUAGAGGAGAGUGAAAAGGAGAUAUCCCAAGGAAUAAUCUGUUCUGAUAUGGUUGAUACUUCAGAUUACUCAUAUGCCACAACACAUGGGAACACAAGUUGUUCAUUACUGAGUGGGGAACAGUCUUCAGAGACGGCUGCAGGUGUUAUCGAGGAGGAUGUGGUGGCUAAUUUGUUAGUAUUGCCCUUUUCAAGACUAGAUUUCAACGAGAAGUUAAAUGUUGUGCAGAGGGGGAGGCCAACACCAGCACUGACAGGAUUGGUGCAACGAGGAAAGGGCUUCGAAAGGCAUUUUCAAGCGAACAAUUAUGAGCGCUAUCCGUGGAUGACUGGGUGCGAGCAAACCAAGAAGCUAUACUGCUGGGAUUGUCUGCUCUUCAGCACUGACAAGUCGUCCACCUGGGCCAGCGCUGGUUUCACCGACCUAGCCAGUUUAACGAAGUCAGCUCUGCGCCACCAAAACUCCACUUCACACCUGCGAGCUACGGUGAGUUCCAAAACAUUUGGGGACACAGGAGUCGACCUUCAGCUAAAGGAGCAGCAGCGCAGAGUGACUCUGGCUCAUAACGAGAAAGUCAGGAAGAACAGGGAGAUUCUGAAGCGCCUCAUUCACACUGUUGUGUUGUUGGGCAAGCAAGAAUUGACAUUCAGAGGACAUGAGGGAAAAGAGGCUGCUAAUAAAGGGAACUACUUGGAGAUGCUUGAUUUUUUGGCAGAGUAUGACAGCCCCCUAAACUGUCAUCUUGCUACAGCAACCGUGUUCAUUGGCACUAGCAGUAAAAUCCAGAAUGACCUGAUCCACGCGGUCGCGGAUGUAAUGACAGAUGCCAUGAAGGAGGAGGUGAGGAAAACACCUUUUGUAACCGUUAUGGUUGAUGACACAACAGACAUUAGUCAUGUAGCUCAGAUGUCAUACGUGCUGCGUUACACUACAGACAGUGGUGUGAAGGAGAGGUUUUUCAAGUAUGAUGACGUCACUGAGGACAAGCGGGCAGAGGCGGUUGCAGCCCGGGUUCUCAGGUUUUUGGAGGAGUAUGGAUGCACUGCCAAAGUAGUGGCACAGUGUUACGAUGGGGCUGCAGUCAUGGCCUCUGGUCUAAACGGAGUGCAAGCCAAGGUCAAAGAAACCAUCCCGCAGGCUCUGUUCAUUCACUGCUAUGCACACACUCUUAAUCGGGUGAUGUCGCAAGGUGCUGCAAAAUUUAAAAAGUGCAAGAUUUUUUUCUCUCAUCUCAGUGGAAUAGCAGCCUUUUUCUCAAGAUCAGUCAAACGCACAAAACUACUGGAUGAAAUAUGCCAGCGAAGAGUACCCGGAGCGGCUCCGACACGUUGGAACUUCUCCUCACGCUUGGUUUGCACUGUGCAUGAUAAGAGGGAAGAACUCCUAGAGCUCUUUGAAUACAUUGUGGACCAUCAUGAUGACUUUGAUGAAGAGACAGUUCACAGUGCAGAUGGACACAUUACGCGUCUGACAAGCUUCCAGUUCUGCUUCCUGCUAUCCACGUUCAACUCCAUCUUUGCGUACUCCGACGUGGUGUUUGGGAUUUUGCAGAACAGGGAGUUUGACAUGCAGUUCUGCUUGUCCAGGAUCGACGACUUCUGCAGCGCCACGGAGAGGGAGAAGGGGAAAUGUGAUUCUAUCUACGAGGACACUGUGCGUGAAACCGGGGAUCCGAGCGGGCGGAGGGCACAGACGCAUGGAGACAUUCGCGCCCAGUACCAACAGCUCCACAGUGGAAUCAUCGACAACCUUCUCACUCAGCUAAGGAACAGGUUCAAAGACCACGAAAGGCUUAUGUUCCUUGCCCUUCUUGACCCACAGCAGUUCCCCAGAUAUAGGGAAACCUUCCCCAACACUGAGUUCUCAAGUCUCAAGGAAAGCUAUGGGCCCCACUUCGAUCUGCCGCGGCUCAAAACUGAACUCACGGUGAUGUACUCCAUGUCUGAUUUCGAGGGUAGGAGUCCGGCCGACCUCCUUCACUUUCUCCGGCAGAAGAGGCUGAAUGAGACUAUGUACCAACUGUAUCUGCUUACCUGUCUGGUCUUGACCAUUCCCAUGUCCACUGCCUCAGAUGAAAGGACAUGCUCCGCCCUGAAACGGAUCAAGACUUACUGCAGGAACACCACUGGACAGGCCAGACUGUCAGCCUUGGCUUUGAUCUCAAUCGAGAAAGUACUUCUCUUGGAUUUAAAAUCAAUGGACAAACUCUAUGACUCUGCCAUUGCCCAUUUCAUAAAGAAGGAUCAGUUGGUGGACUUUAUUUUCAAAUGAUCAUUUAAUGAUUUCUUGCAGCUCACUUGGUGUUAGCUAUCUCUUUUUUGAAAAAAUAAUGAAUGUGAAACAUUUUGCAUUGAAACUUUAGACCACCUGUUAGGCUACUUUGUGUGCUGAUUGUGAUUUAAAAUGUUUGCAAUGGCAAGUAAUAGCUGCUUUGUUAAUUUCCUGUUGGAAUUGCUAAAUGGUUGUUUGUAUUUUGAUUGGGUCCUCCUGCCUUAUGUCAGAGUCAAUGGGCUGCUGAGGCUGUUCCUCAACAUGAUUUGAUGCGGUGUCGGACUCCUUUCUGUCAGGCAUGCAUAACUCCAUGUUCAAAAUAUGAAAGAUAAUAUCCUUGGUGCUGAAAUAGUGGAGGCAGCGCUACGGUUUUCUUCGCGUUGAGCUCGCGGAAGUCUAACUGUCCAUGGUCUUAAAUCAAUAGUUAGGCGUGUGCUGUUGGGGUUACCACAAGUUAACAUCAUUAUUCCUGGGUCUUGUUCCUAAAUAGGGAAGUUAGCCUAAACAUGUUGAAGUGUGUUGUGGUUGUAUUUCCUGUUUUUAUUAUAAUCUUGCUGCUUGGGAAACAUUGUAGUGAGUUCUUCCCAAAAACCUUCUCAAUUAGAGAAGAGGCAACAAGCCUACCGAAGAUUCAACUCGUGUUCGUUAGACAUAGGCCUACUGUAGUAAAGCGUUCAAUGGUAGGUAGAGUUACGCUACAGUUUGUUGGACAAGUUCAGAAAUUGUUCCAUAAGAAUGAGUAGCCUAGUCUUUUUAGGAUGAAGUGAAAUACGGUGGCAAUAAUAUAUUUACACUCAUUUGUAUAAUGGGUUUAGUCUUUAUUUUGUUGCAGAUUCCCUUGGCCUCCUAUUGGUUCACUCUUGAUUCCUGGUCUUGCUGUAGAGACUGAAUACAGCAUGAAUAUUGCUGGACUUAUUCCCCCCCCAUUGUAUACAACCUAUUCAUUGUAUUCAACGCAUUCAGCUACCUUUGGAAGAAUCUAUAGAAGAACCUCUGAUCUUUUUUUGUUAGAAAUAAGAAGGCCGACAAGGAUAUUAUAUAUUUUAAUUAAGAGUAUCCAUUGGUGAAAUAACCUACUAUUAUGGAUCAAAUAUAUUUUUCGGCCAUUUUUGUAGGGUCUGUAUUAUGUGGGCUGUUUUGUUAUUUUUUUCUGGCGAGAUUAAGAAAGGCACUGCAUCAAGACUUGCUGUACAGUAACCCAUACUUUCAUAUUUUGAACAUGGAGUUAUUCUACCGUCAACUAUAAUAAUAAUAAUAAUGUUAUUUUUGUUUUUCAAGGACACUUCCACUGACAUUCUUAGGUGUUCCUCUGGCACCUGUGCGUGCCUCUAGAUGAAAAGGUACGCUACACACGUUGACAGACUGAUUUCUUAACUCCCUUUUUAACAUGCAAGACAACAGGAAAAUACAUUUUAAACAAAAUGGACAUGUCAACAACAACAAAAAUAUCUUAUCUGAGGAUGUCACUUUGAUUUACAUUGGCAGUAAAUGCUUUCACUCCACAUCUAGUGGUGGAGUAGGACACCAUCUACAGUACGUCAGGAGCAGUGGCGUGUUCCAGGAGAGCGACUUCUCAUUCAUGAUGGCGAGGUGUCAUCCGCUGUGGUGGAGAGGGAUGUUCUCUAUGUCAGGAGCAGUGGCUUGUUCCAGGAGAGCAACACUUGAGGAGGAGUCUUCUCAGUCAUGAUGAGGUGAGAUCUUGUCGUUAAUAUCUCCAUCAUGCCAAGACAAAACCCCAACAACUUUACCAUGCAGUCUCUUAUUUUUAACGCCUUAUCUGAACGCUGAAGCCGGUAACAAAGCCGGUACAUUUAAUCCCACCAACAGAGGUAAUGAUGAUUUCGGUAUUUUCUUCAAAGAUCCCGCCGUACGCCUUUGUGUAAAUAAACCAAGCCGUGAAAACAUUUCCAGGCUUUGGGACGAGAUCACAAAGCUUCACAGAAAUGCUUUGAAUGCAUUUAAAUGUAUGUAGUUCUGUCCUUGAGCUGCUCUUGUCUAUUGUCACAGAAAUGCUUUAGCCUGGGGGAACACACACAGCGCAUCUGACAAUAUACGCAAACCUUUCCGCUAGUCCUCUUCUGGAGUUCCAAAAGCUAUAGGCUACAAUAUCUUGUUGGACAUUCAUUUUGAGCAUGUUUUGCUAUGAUUAAUCAUAUCAGUGGCAUAGUGCUAUUUUUAUUUUUAGGGGAAGGAGCUAAAUGUUUUUAUUAAAUUUUUUAUGACGUA
Coregonus clupeaformis (lake whitefish) is the source of this 5650-nucleotide RNA transcript. It is a transcript of the gene named transmembrane protein 41ab, with no coding region annotated. The transcript is spliced from 2 exons. The record is from RefSeq and is a predicted model, not a curated record. Lineage: Eukaryota; Metazoa; Chordata; Actinopteri; Salmoniformes; Salmonidae.